CUACGGGAGGCAGCAGUGGGGAAUAUUGGACAAUGGGGGAAACCCUGAUCCAGCAAUGCCGCGUGUGUGAAGAAGGCCUGCGGGUUGUAAAGCACUUUCGGUUGGGAGGACUGCUUCUAGCACUAAUAUUGUUGGAAGUUGACGUUACCUUCAGAAGAAGCACCGGCUAACUCCGUGCCAGCAGCCGCGGUAAUACGGAGGGUGCAAGCGUUAAUCGGAAUUACUGGGCGUAAAGCGCGCGUAGGCGGCUAGAUCAGUCGGGUGUGAAAGCCCCGGGCUUAACCUGGGAACUGCAUCCGAUACUGUCUAGCUUGAGUACAGGAGAGGAGAGUGGAAUUCCACAUGUAGCGGUGAAGUGCGUAGAUAUGUGGAGGAACACCAAUGGCGAAGGCAGCUCUCUGGCCUGAUACUGACGCUGAGGUGCGAAAGCGUGGGGAGCAAACAGGGUUAGAUACCCUGGUAGUC
RNAcentral lists this ribosomal RNA (465 nucleotides) under uncultured bacterium. RNAcentral's name for it is "partial 16S ribosomal RNA". It matches the Rfam family "Bacterial small subunit ribosomal RNA", at positions 339 to 795 of the family's 1533-position model. The record is from RNAcentral.